GACGAACGCUGGCGGCGUGCCUAAUACAUGCAAGUAGAACGCUGAAGCGAGGAGCUUGCUCUUCUUGGAUGAGUUGCGAACGGGUGAGUAACGCGUAGGUAACCUGCCUUGUAGCGGGGGAUAACUAUUGGAAACGAUAGCUAAUACCGCAUAACAAUGGAUGACACAUGUCAUUUAUUUGAAAGGGGCAAUUGCUCCACUACAAGAUGGACCUGCGUUGUAUUAGCUAGUAGGUGAGGUAAUGGCUCACCUAGGCGACGAUACAUAGCCGACCUGAGAGGGUGAUCGGCCCCCCUGGGACUGGGACACGGCCCAGACUCCUACGGGAGGCAGCAGUAGGGAAUCUUCGGCAAUGGGGGCAACCCUGACCGAGCAACGCCGCGUGAGUGAAGAAGGUUUUCGGAUCGUAAAGCUCUGUUGUAAGUCAAGAACGGGUGUGAGAGUGGAAAGUUCACACUGUGACGGUAGCUUACCAGAAAGGGACGGCUAACUACGUG
RNAcentral lists this ribosomal RNA (497 nucleotides) under uncultured bacterium. RNAcentral's name for it is "partial 16S ribosomal RNA". It matches the Rfam family "Bacterial small subunit ribosomal RNA", at positions 28 to 507 of the family's 1533-position model. The record is from RNAcentral.